Molecule: long non-coding RNA, 758 nt
Filed under: Nicotiana tabacum (common tobacco)
Lineage: Eukaryota; Viridiplantae; Streptophyta; Magnoliopsida; Solanales; Solanaceae
Description: long non-coding RNA (NTAB_LNC009343)
Source: RNAcentral
GCAAGAAUAAUACGAUUUGUUAUACAAAUCUGGCACCCUUCCCACAGGAACAGAACCAUGAUUAUCAUCAGGUUUUACAACAUGACGAAAUUUAGGGACAAUCUUCAUUUCUAAUGGUGAAAAGAAGUAGAAUAAAUCCAGAAUAGAAGCAAGCAUUACAGUUAAUAAUUUUAGCACCCUAAUGUAGUAAUGGUUUGCACUAUUCACAAGCCAAUUUUGUGUCAAAGCUGCUCAAGCAGAUAGCAAAAGCCUGAAAUGCAGAGAGGGGAUACCGGUAGUCCAUGGUAAACAUAUCUUUACCUACUUUCCCGAACUGCAAGAUGAUUUUGUCAUGAUCUGAUUGGCUUGUCGGCUGAGAGGUUGUCGGUCCAGCAACUGGUUGUUGAGUGGCAGCAAUCAAUUGAAAGUUCUUGACAGAUGCAACUGUCACCCGUCCUCGAAAAUUUAGGCACCAGCACUGCAGUUGUUCAUGCCAUCGUGGCGCCUUGUUCUUUAGGACCAGUGGUUUCCCCUUGCCAUCAUCUUCUUCAUUAGUUGAUCCUCCACCAAUAUCAGAAAAUCGCGAGCUACUGAACUCGGUGGAAUGAUCAAGUGACUUUGAGAAAGAGAUGCUGCGAAACGAAUCCUCAAGGGGCCUUGAGAGAAGCUCUGGUUGGCCAGGCACAGAGCCACCAGCAUCAAGUGCUGAGGCAGGAAUUGAGUGCAUGACACAGUGCAUUCUCCGUGGACCCCGUGUUCCAAGCACAUUUAGCUCGUAU